UCUAUACAGGCUGCUAGUUACAAUUCAAUUACAUAUUCGUCUAUGCCUCUCCUCUCGCCCCUACACACAUAUACGCAUACAUACAUAUUGUAUAGCAUAUACUUAUUGGCAUUUUCUUAUAUGCGUUCAGUAUUGCAAAAAGCUCGCACCUCGUCACUAACCUAGUGAGCUUACACAUAACUAUUUGCAAUUAUACAUACAAUCAUGCAUAUUUAUCAAAAGGCGUAGUCGUGUUUUUCAAAACUUCGGCGAAAUAUUUUACUAAGCAUUCUAUCCACAAAUGGUAUAUAAAUAUAGUAUUAUGUGUACAUAUGUAAAAUAUAUAGUUAAUAUAUUUGUGCUGUUGUGUUCUAAAUGUUAUCUACGCAUUGCACAUGCAUUUUAGAUCAGUUGAGUCAGUUUGUUUAGCUCCACUCAGUUUUAGUUCGUCUCAAUUAUCGUAACGUUCUAUUGCACAUCCACCCAUACAUAUACAUGCACAUAUGUAUACAGACGAAUUUGUGUGGAUGUGUUUGGCUAAAUUCGCAUUUCAAUUCAUUCCCUCCAACUACUCGGAUUCCUAUAUAUCUAUCUCAUACUAUUUUUACGAAAAGGUAGUGGUGUUAGAAUGCAUGCGAACGUGCGUUUGUUUGCCGCCGUUCCGAAGCCUUUUAUGUACACCCCACUGCCCCUACUAGCCAAUUCGACGGUGAGGCGCGGAGUGUUUUCCUACCCGCAUACUUGAAAACAAGCGGCGCAAUGAAAAUAUUAUUGAAUUAUAUAAAUAUCUUUCAAUGAAACGUUUAUUUGAUGUUUUAAGGCGGUAUGCGAGUAGUUGUUCUUACCCGCGUUGUGUUGCAUUGUGUGUAUGCGAGCGUUGUAAACACUUAGAAAUAACCUUUUUCAUGGCAUUUCCCUCUUUGCAAUAGGAACUGCCGCUACCGCUUGUCAACCAUCGAGCAGGCGGCGGUUGAUUCGCUUGGAGGCACGACAGCACAGAGCUUUUGCUUCGGUUCUACAGAUGCCUGCAAUACGCAUGUGUGAUUCGAUUGCAUUCGGGUUCGUGAUUUCAGUUAAAUUAUUAACGAUAACGUCUAUCUGCUCACCUAUCACUCGAAUUCAAAAGCUUCCGGUUAGCGCGAUUUAGUUAUUUCUCGAAACUCUCAAGGUCCUUCGAUACUAUAACAUCAUUCAAUUAUGAGUAAUGAUAUCCACGGCAAGAGCUCUUUUUUUGGACAUGUCAUGAAAGGUGAGGUGGCAACGGCUGAGUUUUUGGAAUUUGUAAAUAAAAAUUUUACAAGGUACGACUAAAAUAUGUAUCUUUCAUAUGCUGAACUGUUUAAAUGAAAUAUAUGAUUGUAUAUAUAGUAACAAAUUGUAAAAAUACCCUUGUUUUCAAUCUCUGAAACCCCACCUAACCACUUAAUUUGCUUCAAUCUAUUAUCUACUCAGUACUAUAAUAAUCAACCGUUAAUACUUGGAUACUAUUGAAACGACAGUCUUAAUGUAAACCGAUUAUUACAUAAUCAUCUUCAUAUAGCGGUAAUUGCAAGGAAACAUCCUCCAAAUUUAACAGUAGUAAUAGAACUGUUCGAAUUCGGCGCAUUAUCUAAAUUGGGUAUGUACCGAUUAAAAUCUUAAAAGUCGCUCCCCAACCACAACUCAACAACCGUUUACUAAACAGUGUUUGACAUGCGGUAUCCACAUUUCUCUUAAGGGGCUCAUCUCAUGUAAAGGGCUUAAAAAAUUUAUAUUUUUAGUUUUUUCCAUAAAUUGCUUUCUUAACAUGUCUAUAAUACGAUUAAAUGUGAUUUUUAAAAAUUGGAAGUCGUUUUAAAGAUACAGCAGUUAUAAGAAAGAGCUGUUCGAAGCGCCAACUUGAAAUUGUUAGGGUAAGGGUUGUCAGCAUAUGUAAACGCAAUCAAAAAUUCGCAAAAUAUCGAUUUUCUUUUCUUUAGCAUAAAACCAUAAAAUAUUUACUGGUCGUAGAAUGAAUUCCUAAAAAAACAGGCCGUUACAUGGGAUGACCCCCUUAAAUAAACUGGGUUUCUUGUUCUUAUAAUUUAAAUCUGUAUAAAUAUAUUUCGGGAUAAUUGACUAUAAUAGCUUUCCGAAAUUACAUGUUACAUUUGAAAGUCAUUUACGCCAAUGUGUAUUAAGGAUACUCACCGUUUUCGAAAGUAAAGAUUCACUCCUUUAGCUGAGCCAUUAUCCUUAAUAUGUCCGAAUGCUGGCAAACGAUAAUGCGAAGAGUCGAGGUGAUUCUUUUGUACAUAUAUAUUUCCAAUUACAUUACGUAUUAGUUUUCUACACUUUCAUAUUAUGUCAUGUGCAUUAUUUAUCCAUUACACACUUGCUAUUGUCAAUUCGUGAAUAUUUAUUUGUUUGAUAACAACAACAACAGUGAUGACAUCGGUCGCAGAGACCUCACAGGAGGAGCAGGAGGUGGAGAGGCAGUUUAAGCGGCUCAGCGUCGAAAACAGAGACAAUUUCAGCACAUGCAUAUAUGUAUGUAUGUACGUGCAAUUACAAAUGUAAAUAUGUACCGUAGCGCGGUGUGACGAAUGCAACGACAACAACAGUAACAAGCAAAGUAAUAAUACGGCAGUGACAGUCGUCGUCGCUACGGUUGCUUGUAGCUGGUGUCUGUGGUGUUCAGGCACUGGCAGUGGCGGUGGCAGUGACGUAAGGAGACGUCGGAGGUCGUACUCUUCUACUCUCACUCGCGCGGCAACGUUUAAACAGCAGCACACUCUGUCGUUGACCCCGUGCGAUGUGAUACGAUGUGAUGUGAUGUAUUGAUAUCGCAUGCAAUUGUAGGUUUAUUGCCCUUGGGGUAGACGAUAUUCGUACAAGCCGAAUUCAUUCACAUUACAAAUGUAUGCAUGUAUGUACACACGCUAUAUCGACGGAUGAGUAUGCCCGCGCUUUUGUACACUUUCUUAUUUGUAGAAACCAAUAUAUAUUUUAACAAACACAAACACACUAUUCUUAUGAUUUAAACGCGCUUUACGGUUAAAAAAUGACGUAUUUUAUGAGUAAUUAAUAUUUUUUAGUUUAAGUUAUUGGUAGACACAUUCGUAUAUACGUAUUCAAUUUUCAUAACGUACGAUUAUGAAUUGAAUUUCCGAAAAUUUUUAAAAAAAAUUUCGAGUUUUCAUAUAUUCCGAAAUGCCGCACGAAUAUGGUUGUUGUUGUUUUUGUUUUUGUUGUAUUGUCAGCUUUGCAUUAAUGCUAAAAUGAAAUCAAAUAUACACUCAUUCAAAUAUAAAGUUCAUACAAAGGCACAUACAUACACACAUACGAGUGAUUGUAUGUAUGUAUGUAUAUACACAUUUUUACACUCGCACAUACAUAUGUAAGCAUAUGUAUGCGUAAGUGUAUGUAUGUUGCGACUAUAGAUUAUAAAAAGCUCGACUAGAGGUAAAUGGCAAAUGCAUUUCACGCUUCCUCUUGCAGUGGCCGUGGCAUUCACAGAAAACUUAGCGACUAAGGCGGCGACGCGGACGGCGGCAACGCUUUCGAGCACGCUCAGGGACUCCGCUGAUUGUUGAUAUGCGAGCGUGCGAGCGUAUAACUGCAUCGGCAUCGACGUUGAUGGCCAACAAAAAACAACAAAAUAUUUAUUCGUUGAUUAUAAAGCAAAAUCCAUGUGUUACGCGAUUGCAAUUGUUGUUGUUGCUGUUAUUGUUAUUGCUGCAGUUGAUACUGCUGAUUACAUAUAAUGAUGGCGAUGAUUAUGAUUACGUAGAUGAUGAAGUUAAUCGUGCAGCCGACCAGCCGACCAGCCGACUGACUGAUCGCAUAAAGUCUUUGGCAGCGCUCGGUGAAUGCAAGUGGCGCAGCAGCUGUUGCAGCGGGUGUUUUGCUGGCAGUGAGUUUGCUCUGCGCUGCUGGCUUGGCAGACUGGCUGGAUGGUGGGUGUCAGUGACACCUUCGCGUAAGCAAUAAUAUUGCGAAAAGUUCAAAAUUCGACGUUACGAGUUGUAAUUGCCAAAACAAAAAAAAAUAAUAAUGAACACGAAAUUUCCGCGAAAUUUCACAACUUUGAAUUCCUUUUAGUUUUUUUUAGCAACUGAGAUUUUUAACGAUGUUAAACGUUUUCUAAUUCUAAAUAUUUCGAAUUAUAAGUUUUUGUGACUUUAUAAUUAUUUAAUACAUUUAAUUUUUCGCAGAGUUUGCGCUUUGAAGAGUUCAUUCACUGACUCUAUUCUUAAAAUAUUAUCCAGUAUAUUUAAAUUGUUUUACAUAUUUUGAGGAUUCAACGUUUUUAAAGAAGCCAAUUUGUACUCCAAUCGAGCCACAUUCACAGAUUUCAAUAAUAAAUGCAAACUGCUCACACUUCAAUGAUUCGUCUUUAUUAUCUUCAAUAUUUACACACACAAGUAUCGAUAUUAGUGCUAAACUUUGAAUUUUAUUUUUUACCUUGUAAAAGUAUGCGUUACAGGAAGGCACAACACUAAAAUGUUUUUGUUUACAUAUCCACACAUAUGCACAUGUUUAUAUGUAAUUAAUAAUUUUCUAAUUAGAACUUUACUGCCGAUCCGUUAUGCUAGUAACGGAAAUUAUUUGAUCUCGAAUGGUUCAAAAUAUGAUUCCACAUCGCGGGUAACAACUAUGGUGACGACACCAACGCGACAGUAGGUCCAAUAAAUGGAGACGCGCUUAGUGGUAGGUCGGUACCGUCAUAAAACUGUAUUUGUAUUUGCGCGCAAAUUUUUUUUUGUUCAAUUGCUACCGAAUAAGCAAUUUAAAAAGCGAAACCGAAAAAAACGAAAACGAUGCGGAACAGACGAGCGAAUGCGAAUGCGCGAUGCGAAAAAUUGAAAAACUGUUCGGAAGACUCGCAAAAUCCGGCCGCUUGACUUACACCCGCUGAACGAAUUAAUCCACGUUUAUUUGCAACAACCGUCUUUUGUCGCAGUCAUAAUAAGACUAACGUCUCGCGGAGACCCAGUACACAUUGGCUGCGGUGUGCGCGCUUUGCGAAACCCAUUAGCAGCUGCGGCAGAAACAUGCCAAUGCAUGCAAUAGCAGCAACAGUGGCAGCGGUGGCGAUAACAUCGUGAGCGUACUCAAUGUUGCAGUUUGCACUUUGCUCUGUGUGUGUUACGUGUGUAUAUAUCCAAAUUUAGCAGAUUGCCUACGCUUGCUCCAAGAGUGGCGAUUUGUGCGAGCGUUUCGCAGAGCGUAGUGCUCUACGGCCAAGUCAGUCGCGUAGCAAACGUUGUCGUGUGCGCAUACACAAUCAAGCUUCAAGUUCAUCCACUGAACUUCAAAGCUUUGCUGCCAAGCAACCAUAUCUACAGCGUUGUGCAGUUACUCGGCGUGCACCGUCAUCGACGCCACCUUCAGGUUCAAAAACAUUGGGGCUCGAGCUAUGUGUGUCUGAUUUCGCUAUGUUUACUUUAUUACACGCUGCACUAAAAUACACGAUUAUUCUCUCUCUCUUUCUCCCUCUUUUCUCUGUGGGUCUCUCUAACUCUCGCUUCAUGUGGAGGAGCGUAUACGUGAAAUGCUCUAGUGAGCUGGUGAAAUAUUUAGAAUUGACUAAUAGUUACCGGUUCCGAGGACUGGAUUGUGCUACUCAAUUUUAACGUAGAUUGUGAUAUGGGUACUCAGGGUAGGGAUGCAACCGAGACUCUGCUCCUCUUUGUCCUGAGAAUUUUACUCAUAAAAUUUUCCGAAUAUAAUUAAUUUCUGAAGGGUUCGGGGUACUUAUUAACGUCGCAGCUUACCACCGUCGCAAAAUCUAAGAUGUUGAAAAAGAAGUAUUACGCCAAUACAGGAAGAGGUAUUAUGUCAAAGUACUAAUGACAACGCGAAAUCGGAUCGACCAAGGUAAUUUUUAGAAUAAUUGUGGUGUUCGAAUUCAAUAACCAUAGUACAAAUCAAAUCAAACUAAAAAAAUGGAACUGUGUCCUUUGUAUCGGCGUGAUUUCACAAUUUUUUCUAAUUUUAAAGUAAAAAUAUUCCCAAAAGAACUCAUUCCUAUAAACUCCAUUUGUCCGGUAAGAGACCUCAUAUAUUUUGUCGGGAAAAGUCAAUUAGAGAAAACCAUUAUAUGCGGUACAAAGUGACUAGUCCGCUAAGCCAUAUUUGGUCAUGUUCUCCUAAUUUCAUUAAAAUACCACACACAUAUGUUGACCGAAUCUUUGUUUCUAGUGUCUCAUACUUAAAGUGGGUAAAUUAUUGUGGGUUUCUGGCUUUCAAAAUGAGAUCUCUCAAAUGUUUUCUGAUUGUCCUUAUACUCAUAUUCGGGUACCUUCGCACUUUUUUGUCUUUCUAUCAUUUCAAGUGAAAUAAGUUUAGUUUAUUUAAUAUUUAGGGAACUUGCCAAUACUUUCGUUUUUCCUUUUUGGUCGACCUUUGCUGAUUUUCUUUAUAUUUUUUUAGUUUUUUCUUUAUUAAAUUUACAGUUCCUUCGGGGUAGUACUUAGAACACACCUAAUAUGUUAAGAAAAUGUAUUGUUUUUAUCUUAGUCAAUUCUAAUUGAAUUGUUUUAUCAGUAAUAAUAUGCUCUAAGCCAGAAUUAUAUAUUCAUUUUUAAACAAGAACAAGUUAAAGACAGCACUGCUAACAGCUCAAAAAGAACGAUCAACAUUAAAUGCGCUCGUAAAUAGAAAUAACGCAAACCCUAUUAAUACUCAUUUUCUGUACCGUUUUGUGAAUCGUAAAACACAAUUUUAGAUGAAAUUUCUAUAACAACUAGAAAGCGCUUCUAAUUAAAUAAUGUGACAAUUGACACUACUAUUAAGCUGCAAGAUAGUCACCCUUGUCAUGUUAUUAUAGAAUAUAGGGAUCCAAGAGUUACAGAGUAGUCAAAAUACAAUAACUGCUUUUUAACGCACUAUUUAUUAUACAUUGAAUAUAUGUACUUCAGAUUUAUGGACAAUAUAAUAUAACUACAUUGCUAUUGUAAACAGAUCUCAGAUAUUUAUUUGCGUAUAUUAACUACGACAUUUUUGUCUUGGGAAGGUGGAUUCGACGAGUUAUUAAGCAAAGCUGUGAGUGUUGCAUGCGAUGAGCUUAACGUGCUAGGCUUUGUAAGAGGAUUUGUAUCACUGGAGCUGGUGGCUACAUUGCUACUUCCAGUAUUUGCAUUAUUUUUAUUGUUUUUAAUAAAA
Molecule: long non-coding RNA, 7107 nt
Organism: Zeugodacus cucurbitae (melon fly)
Lineage: Eukaryota; Metazoa; Arthropoda; Insecta; Diptera; Tephritidae
Exons: 3
Source: RefSeq, a predicted model, not a curated record